GCGGUGGGGAGGGGGAAGGUGACGGGUAUGGGUACGGGGAAGGGAACCUUAAAUUAUUCUUCAGGAUUAACGAAAAAUUGUUGUUAUAAUCUUAUGUUUUUGUUUUAUUAUAAUUUGUUGUGUAUAUUAUAAAUUUUUCUAGACAUAGGAGGUAUAUUUAGAAAAGUACAAAUUUUUUUUAUUUUUUAAAAUAGAUGCCUAGGCACAACACUCGCUCUAAUCAACGAGUAAGUGUUGAAUAUGACGAACGAUGUGGGUGUCCGGCAUCCCCUUGAGUUCAGGCAUUGUUGAAUCACUCGAUAGGUGUACUCAUUUGUACUAAGUGCCCUAUGACUACCCACAAAUGGAAGUACGUCACCCACAAUACAACACCCGACCUAAUGGAAGAACUCUCGACCGAGUUUAAAAUUAACAUGAGUAUACCGCUUACCUUUGACUAUGUUAAUUGGCUAUGGACAAUAAAAUUUAAAGAGUGGUUGUUCGAGCUACACACCUACUAUUUUGAAUACGGAUGUCAUGAAGAAGCUCUAAAUCAUCUGCCUAAUGAACUUCAGAUUUAUAAGUGUAGUUUUUUUAUUACUUUUAUGAAAAUUUUUUGAGGAUUA
Molecule: long non-coding RNA, 605 nt
Organism: Malus domestica (apple)
Lineage: Eukaryota; Viridiplantae; Streptophyta; Magnoliopsida; Rosales; Rosaceae
Source: RefSeq, a predicted model, not a curated record